RNAcentral lists this ribosomal RNA (1205 nucleotides) under metagenome. Its description in RNAcentral is "bacterial LSU rRNA". It matches the Rfam family "Bacterial large subunit ribosomal RNA", at positions 1669 to 2866 of the family's 2925-position model. The record is from RNAcentral.
GGUAGAGAAUACCAAGGCGAACGGGAGAACCCUUGUUAAGGAACUAGGCAAAUUAAGUCCGUAACUUAGGGAAAAGGACUGCCACUGGUUGUGAGGGCGACUAGCUUGUCUGAGCGAUUGGUGGUCGCAGCGAAAUGGCUCUGCCGACUGUUUAACAAAAACACAGGUCUCUGCGAAAGCGAAAGCUGACGUAUAGGGGCUGACGCCUGCCCAGUGCCGGAAGGUUAAGGGGAGAUGUGAUGAGCAUUGAACCGAAGCCCCGGUGAACGGCGGCCGUAACUAUAACGGUCCUAAGGUAGCGAAAUUCCUUGUCGGGUAAGUUCCGACCCGCACGAAAGGCGUAACGAGCAGAGCACUGUCUCAACAAGGGACCCGGCGAAGUUGAAAUAGCGGUGAAGAUGCCGUUUACCCGCAGCAGGACAAAAAGACCCCGUGGAGCUUUACUGUAGCUUGACAUUGAGUUAGGGCUUUGUCUGUGUAGGAUAGGUGGGAGGCUGUGAAGCUGGUCCGCUAGGAUCGGUGGAGUCGACGUUGAAAUACCACCCUGAUGGAGUCUUGGCUCUAACCUGUGGCCCUAAUCGGGCAUGGGGACAGUGUCUGGUAGGCAGUUUGACUGGGGCGGUCGCCUCCUAAAGAGUAACGGAGGCGCCCAAACGUUCCCUCAGGCUGAAUGGAAACCAGCCGCAGAGUGUAAAGGCAUAAGGGAGCUUGACUGCGAGACAAACAAGUCGAGCAGAGACGAAAGUCGGGCUUAGUGAUCCUACGGUUCCGAGUGGAAGGGCCGUGGCUUAACGGACAAAAGCUACCCCGGGGAUAACAGGCUGAUCUCCUCCAAGAGUUCACAUCGACGAGGAGGUUUGGCACCUCGAUGUCGGCUCGUCGCAUCCUGGGGCUGAAGUAGGUCCCAAGGGUCCGGCUGUUCGCCGGUUAAAGCGGUACGCGAGCUGGGUUCAGACCGUCGUGAGACAGGUCGGUCUCUAUCCGCUGUGGGCGAAGGGGAUUUGAGAGGGGCUGCCCCUAGUACGAGAGGACCGGGGUGGACAGACCGCUGGUGUACCAGUUGUCUCGCCAGAGGCAUGGCUGGGUAGCUAAGUCUGGCAGCGAUAACCGCUGAAAGCAUCUAAGUGGGAAACGCGCCUCAAGAUGAGAUCCCCCACUGUAAAAGGGUAAGUGCACCGGGAGACUACCGGUUAGAUAGGCGGCAG